ACGUUCACCCCGCCUCUCCGCGCAGGGCCACCAUCGUGGAGAUCAGUUCUCCCUUCUCCCCAUCCUUCCCAAUUUCUCACGCAACCUUUGCCCUGCGCCGCCACACCCUCUCCUCCGCCGCCUCCCCACAGGAUGUCGCCUGACCCGCUCGGGCGCCUCCUCGACGAUGCGGAGCCGUCUGGUAGAGAGCGCCAUGGCCUCCUCUCUAGGGAUUCAGAAAUCGGGAGGGGGGCAGGGAGAGAGGUCACGAUAGGCGUGGAUGGAAGGGAAGGCGCAGGACGACCCAGAAGACAUCCGCCCGCACGCUCUCACAGUCUCGCUCUGCCGGAUGGUGCUGGACCGCCGGACGGCGAGGGCUCCUUGUUGCUGGCCAAACUCAAGCGCUUUCUCGCGAAGAUAAUUGUGGAUUCCAAAGUAACGACCACUGUUAUCUUACUCCUUCCUUGGUGCUGGAAAGUGGUGGUAGUAGAACCAUAUAAAUCUCAGACAAUUACAUGUAUCUCGCCAAUUAGGCCAAUCUUGGUGCUGAAUCGUGUUAUGUUGGGUGUGCACCUAUAUGGGGUAGUAGCAGCAAUGAAAGACUCAUGGACCCACCCUAGAAGCUACGUAAUCUAGAGUUGAAGCCAAUUUCAGAACACUAGGUUCUGGAAUCUCCCCAGAUCCAGAAGCUUGGAAGCGCAGAUGGAGGACUUUUGAUAUCUAUAUACAGGGAGAGGGCAAGGAGCAGAAUUCUGACAUAAGAGAGGCUGCAAGAGAGUGAAUUCUUUUGUUAUUGUAAAGAAGGAUUAUGUUGUUCGUGUGGAAAAAAGCUUCCUUGAUAUCCAUCUCUUCUGGGCUGGCAAGGGUGCUUGCUGCAUUCUUACUCAAGCCUACUAUGGGCCUGUAAUAUCGGCUUAUGUUAGUUUUUGUGGGGCAGUUAAAAGAGUCCAUGUUAGUUUGCAUGUUUAUGUUAAGGUACAUUAGGAUGCCUUCAUAGAGAACUUUAUUUAUUCCAAGACAACUGAUACAUACUCUAUGUUACUGUACUCUCAUUAUGUGCAUUAGUUUUAAUACUGCAGAAGUGUUCUAUGCUUCAUGAAAUGACGCGAUAAGCAGAACUGUUUCUUAUGCUUGCUGCAUGCUGCAUAUACCUGGUGGAUCACGUUAUGGAUCAGCGUUUAAAAUAUGAGAAGUACACCAUCUGCCUUUAGAGUUGUCAUCAUCUGAUAUGCUUCCUUAUGUUCAAGGCCGCAAGCAAUUUUAGUUAAUUAGCAAGUCAUUUUUUCCCUCAAGUUCAGGACUGCAAUGGUAGCACUAAAAUAUGAUUUGUUUAUUAUUUGACUGACAUUUUUAUGAUAAACUUUCGCCUUUAAUGGUCUUCUUUGGUAGCCAUUCAUUUUCAACUCAAUAAUUUGUAAUUGUUUGACCUUUUUCUUCUUGGAACAGAUAAAUGUUCUGUUGGGGUUAACAUGUUACUAGAGGAUGUUUUUACAACUCAUUAUAUCAUGGUUUAUAUAGAUUUAGUAUUCUCAUAUUUAUUAAUGGGGGCACAUGUUGCAUCAUUGCAUAUGUAUACGAUUAUGUGAUAUCGGUACCUUUAUAGAUAUGAAAUUCUCUUCAGUUCAUGCAUUUUCCCAAUCGUUUGUCUUCCUAUUUGUUUACUAACAACUUUCGAUGUCUCUGAUAGUCUGAUUGUACUAAUAGUUUAUGUAAAUCAAUAUUAUUCUUUUAUGUUAAUAAAUUUGCAUGCGGUUGGUUGGCUAUGCCUUAGCUGAACAGUGACUCUUCAAUCAUGCGUGAACUGAUCUUAAGUUUAAAAAGAUCUUGUCACACAAAGUUAUAAUCUUAACAAACAAUCCAAUUAUGUUUUUUAUAUUUAAUCUAGCUCUCUUUGCUCCACUAUUUUGGAGUGAUAUUUCUGUUUUUAUGGGUGCUUAUUUGGGAUCUGAUGUUUCUGAUAGCUCUAGAACUAUCGAAGUUUGUGUUCUUCUGAAACUUGAUCCUUUUGUUUUGUCCUAAUGGUUCCUGGCUUCCAGACAUGGAUGGCUUCUAUGUAAUACAAGUGCAACUUUAUCAAAGCAAAAUCCACUACUUACAAGCCAAUUAUUUUUGUUCUAGGUAAUCCAUCAUAUCAUAUGUAAUUGCUUCUUGCACGGUUAAAAGGGCAAGCUUGACAGAUUCUUGCAUCUAACCAUCUUUUGAUAGAGAAUAGUGUCUAUCUACAGAGAUCAAAUAUGCAUGUCAAUUCUUUUCCUUUUUGCCUUAGCUAAGCAUUUUCUGCCAGGUUGAUCUAUCAUUUAAGAAUGUCCUCAACAAGAUGCGAUGCAGUUUUUUCCUUUGUUCACAGCUUGUGUCAUGCUUAUGUACCUGACAAUACUACGUUGAAGAAUGCUCCGGGGAAUUAAUCAUUGAGAAUGGGAAGGGCUGCAGGCUCCAGGGUGUUACCAUUCAGAAUGGUAAGGAAUGUAGGCAUCAUUGAGAAUGGGAAGGACUGCAGGCUCCGGGGAGUUACCAUUCAGAAUGGUAAGGAAUGUAGACUCCGGAGAGUUACCAUUUAAAAUAGCAAAGCAGGAUUCAUUGAAGUCUUGUUUCCAGUUCCUUUUACCACUGCUCUAUUCAGUCUUGUUUAACGCAUUUGAAUGAUUGUACCAAUAAAGACGAUAAGAGGUGUGUGAGAGUCUUUCAUUUGUAUUGCAACUGUGAAUAUUCGUGUAAAAUAUGUACAUAUAUAUGCAAUGUUUAUCUAUGAGUUGCACACCCCCAA
Long non-coding RNA from Lolium perenne, 2743 nucleotides. RefSeq lists it as uncharacterized. The record is from RefSeq and is a predicted model, not a curated record. Lineage: Eukaryota; Viridiplantae; Streptophyta; Magnoliopsida; Poales; Poaceae.